UUACUUUGAAGAAUUAGAGUGCUCAAAGCAGGCCUUUGCCGCCUGUAUAAUGGUGCAUGGAAUAAUGGAAUAGGAUCUCGGUUCUAUUUUGUUGGUUUUCGGAGCUCGAGAUAAUGAUUAAUAGGGACUGACGGGGGCAUUCGUAUUGCGGCGCUAGAGGUGAAAUUCUUGGACCGUCGCAAGACGAACUACAGCGAAAGCAUUUGCCAAGCAUGUUUUCAUUAAUCAAGAACGAAAGUCAGAGGUUCGAAGACGAUCAGAUACCGUCGUAGUUCUGACCGUAAACGAUGCCAACUGUCGAUCCGCCGGAGUUGCUUCAAUGACUCGGCGGGCAGCCUCCGGGAAACCAAAGUUUCUGGGUUCCGGGGGGAGUAUGGUUGCAAAGCUGAAACUUAAAGGAAUUGACGGAAGGGCACCACCAGGAGUGGAGCCUGUGGCUUAAUUUGACUCAACACGGGGAACCUCACCCGGCCCGGACACUGCAAGGAUUGACAGAUUGAGAGCUCUUUCUUGAUUCGGUGGGUGGUGGUGCAUGGCCGUUCUUAGUUGGUGGAGCGAUUUGUCUGGUUAAUUCCGAUAACGAACGAGACUCUAGCCUGCUAAAUAGUUCGGGGAUCC
Molecule: ribosomal RNA, 618 nt
Filed under: Corbiculidae environmental sample
Lineage: Eukaryota; Metazoa; Mollusca; Bivalvia; Venerida; Cyrenidae
Description: SSU rRNA
Rfam family: Eukaryotic small subunit ribosomal RNA
Source: RNAcentral